Manis pentadactyla (Chinese pangolin) is the source of this 122-nucleotide small nucleolar RNA. RefSeq annotates it as small nucleolar RNA SNORA31. The record is from RefSeq and is a predicted model, not a curated record. NCBI's taxonomy places the organism in Eukaryota, Metazoa, Chordata, Mammalia, Pholidota, Manidae. The transcript has a single exon.
AUCUAUUUGACAGACCUGGAGCAGUUAUUGUCUGCUUCUCAGAUUUCCUCUACAGACGAGAAAAGCAUCCUCAUGUUUUCUGUCUGUCUGAUAGUGGCAGCCUAGAUUGAAUAGGGAAAUGU